CAUAUGCUAAUAAACGCGACACGGUAUGUGAAAUGGGACAACGCGUUGAGAAACUUAACGCCCUAAUUCAAAAUCACCCCCGAGAACAAACACGGAAACAACGGCUCUAUUUCUUCUCGAGCACUGUUCGUUUCCUUGUCGCCACCUGGACAUUUUGGGAUCGUAAAGUUGAGAGGAAGAUUUCGACAGGUGCCACUACUACAGGUGAUAACAGUACAACAGAGGGAGAGGCGAUAGUUACAAGUUCACGGGUGUCCUGAGGGCAUCCGGUGAAUCAAUCGAUCAACAAUCCACUAAACAAAAUGGCUGCAACGUUUGGUGGUCGGACAGUCGGACUGUUGCUGUUAUUUGUAGCCAACGCGCCGGUCAACAUAACUGCAGCGACGUGCAGCACACCUGCAGCGCCGGACAACACAACUGCAACGCCGGGCAACACAACUGCAGCGCCGGGCAACAUAACUA
This is a long non-coding RNA of Branchiostoma belcheri (Belcher's lancelet), 462 nucleotides long. RefSeq lists it as uncharacterized. Lineage: Eukaryota; Metazoa; Chordata; Leptocardii; Amphioxiformes; Branchiostomatidae. The transcript has 3 exons. The record is from RefSeq and is a predicted model, not a curated record.